This is a long non-coding RNA of Sinocyclocheilus rhinocerous, 258 nucleotides long. RefSeq lists it as uncharacterized. The transcript is spliced from 3 exons. The record is from RefSeq and is a predicted model, not a curated record. Lineage: Eukaryota; Metazoa; Chordata; Actinopteri; Cypriniformes; Cyprinidae.
CAGCUCUGAGUUUAAACCCCUCACACCUGAGAGAGCUGGAUCUGAGCUACAAUCACCCAGGACAAUCAGGAGUCCAGCUGCUCAAACACAAACUGCAGGAUCCAAACUAUAAACUGCAGAUACUCAAUGUGAAUCAUGGAGGAGAGAUCAGAAUUACAGCAGGACUACGAAAGUAUGCCUGUGAUCUCACACUGGAUCCAAACACAGCAAACACUUACAUCAUUCUCUCUGAUAAGAACAGGAAGAUCACACGUGUGA